AGCAGCCGCGGUAAUUCCAGCUCCAAUAGCGUAUAUUAAAGUUGUUGCAGUUAAAAAGCUCGUAGUUGAAUUUCGGGAUCAAUACGUCGGUCGUGCUUCGGUACGUACUGGCGUCAUUGGUUUCUCCCUUCUGACGAACCAUGAUGUCAUUAACUUGGUGUCAUGGGAAAUCAGGACUGUUACUUUGAAAAAAUUAGAGUGUUUAAAGCAGGCAUACGCUUGAAUACAUUAGCAUGGAAUAAUGAAAUAGGACGUUCGAUUCUAUUUUGUUGGUUUCUAGGAUCGACGUAAUGAUUAAUAGGGAUAGUUGGGGCAUUAGUAUUCAAUUGUCAGAGGUGAAAUUCUUGGAUUUAUUGAAGACUAACUACUGCGAAAGCAUUUGCCAAGGAUGUUUUCAUUAAUCAAGAACGAAAGUUAGGGGAUCGAAGACGAUCAGAUACCGUCGUAGUCUUAACCAUAAACUAUGCCGACUAGGGAUCGGAUGAUGUUAAUUUUUAAUGA
RNAcentral lists this ribosomal RNA (501 nucleotides) under uncultured Glomus. Its description in RNAcentral is "SSU rRNA". It matches the Rfam family "Eukaryotic small subunit ribosomal RNA", at positions 569 to 1074 of the family's 1831-position model. Lineage: Eukaryota; Fungi; Glomeromycota; Glomeromycetes; Glomerales; Glomeraceae. The record is from RNAcentral.